This 602-nucleotide ribosomal RNA is filed under the name uncultured bacterium. Its description in RNAcentral is "bacterial SSU rRNA". It matches the Rfam family "Bacterial small subunit ribosomal RNA", at positions 69 to 663 of the family's 1533-position model. The record is from RNAcentral.
ACAGAGAUAGCUUGCUAUCUGCUGACGAGCGGCGGACGGGUGAGUAAUGCUUGGGAAUAUGCCUUAUGGUGGGGGACAACAGUUGGAAACGACUGCUAAUACCGCAUAACGUCUACGGACCAAAGGGGGGGAUGCUUCGGCACCUCCCGCCAUUUGAUUAGCCCAAGUGAGAUUAGCUAGUAGGUGAGGUAAGAGCUCACCUAGGCGACGAUCUCUAGCUGGUUUGAGAGGAUGAUCAGCCACACUGGGACUGAGACACGGCCCAGACUCCUACGGGAGGCAGCAGUGGGGAAUAUUGCACAAUGGGCGAAAGCCUGAUGCAGCCAUGCCGCGUGUGUGAAGAAGGCCUUCGGGUUGUAAAGCACUUUCAGCGAGGAGGAAAGGUUAGUGGUUAAUAACCACUAGCUGUGACGUUACUCGCAGAAGAAGCACCGGCUAACUUCGUGCCAGCAGCCGCGGUAAUACGAGGGGUGCAAGCGUUAAUCGGAAUUACUGGGCGUAAAGCGUGCGUAGGUGGUUUGUUAAGCAAGAUGUGAAAGCCCUGGGCUCAACCUGGGAACUGCAUUUUGAACUGGCAAGCUAGAGUUUUGUAGAGGGUAGUG